Molecule: non-coding RNA, 851 nt
Filed under: Canis lupus familiaris (dog)
Lineage: Eukaryota; Metazoa; Chordata; Mammalia; Carnivora; Canidae
Source: RNAcentral
GAAAAGGUAAAUUGCAUUAGGUUUGAGUCCUUUAAUGGCAAAUGUUUCUGUUUUCACAUUCUCUGCUACGGUCUGCCAGCUGCUACCAGAUGCAUGGCUGAAGGCUUCUAUAAUAUAAGAUGUUGGAGUUGCACCUGAAUUCAAAUUUGGUUGCCAUGACAACGUUACUGUAUUUCUGCUGACAUCUGUAACUUCAGGUUUUGAGGGGGCACUAGGGAUUAAAUUUGGGUCGGUGGGUCGUGGAGGCUGAACUGGAACUCCAAAUUCUUGGACUUCAAUGUAAGCACUCCAUGUUGCUUCACCACUGGGGGUUGAUGCAAUGCAGGUGUACCGACCUGUGUCACCCAGCUUAGCGUAUCGGAUCUGCAGCACUCCCGUCUCCAGCUGUUUGAUUCUAGAAUCUUGGGUUGAAACAAGGACUCCAUCCUUUCUCCAGAGAAUCGUGGGCAUUGGACUGCCUGUGGCCACACAGCUGAGCACUAAAGUACCAUCCACUGCUACAGUCUGAUUCACAGGACCUUGUCGAAUGACUGGGGGAGGCCGGUCUGCAAUCACAUCAGUAACUUCCAAAUAUGCUUUUGUGAUGAUACUUCCGGCAACAUUUAAAGUCUGGCAGAUAUAAUAACCAACAUCAGACCGCUGGACAUUAGUAAUAGUGAGAUCACCAGUCUGGGAGACGGAAAAGCGGCUAGUUGACUGUGGCGGCUGAUAUGAGAAAAGCAGAUUCUGACUCCCCUCUCUUCUCCAAAAAAUAGCUGGUUGAGGAUUUCCGGUUGCUUCACACUGAAAUGUUACAGUUCGCCCCAAGGCAACAACCUGGUCACGAGGUUUCACAACAAAAUGUGGAGGUU